This 459-nucleotide ribosomal RNA is filed under the name uncultured bacterium. RNAcentral describes it as "partial 16S ribosomal RNA". It matches the Rfam family "Bacterial small subunit ribosomal RNA", at positions 338 to 795 of the family's 1533-position model. The record is from RNAcentral.
CCUACGGGAGGCUGCAGUGAGGAAUAUUGGUCAAUGGCCGAGAGGCUGAACCAGCCAAGUCGCGUGAGGGAAGACGGCCCUACGGGUUGUAAACCUCUUUUGUCGGGGAGCAAAGCGAACCUCGUGGGGGUCAUUGAGAGUACCCGACGAAAAAGCAUCGGCUAACUCCGUGCCAGCAGCCGCGGUAAUACGGAGGAUGCGAGCGUUAUCCGGAUUUAUUGGGUUUAAGGGGUGCGCAGGCGGAGAUGCAAGUCAGCGGUCAAAUUGCGGGGCUCAACCCCGUACCGCCGUUGAAACUGCAUCCCUUGAGUGAGCGAGAGGGAUGCGGAAUGCGUGGUGUAGCGGUGAAAUGCAUAGAUAUAACGAAGAACUCCGAUUGCGAAGGCAGCAUACCGGCGCGCAACUGACGCUCAUGCACGAAAGCGUGGGUAGCGAACAGGAUUAGAUACCCGAGUAGUC